This 317-nucleotide long non-coding RNA is filed under the name Solanum tuberosum (potato). Its description in RNAcentral is "long non-coding RNA (STUB_LNC000920)". Lineage: Eukaryota; Viridiplantae; Streptophyta; Magnoliopsida; Solanales; Solanaceae. The record is from RNAcentral.
UUUGAAUUAAGUAGUUUAUUGUAAAAAAAUAAUUGAGAAAUACUUUGCUUCAUACCAAACACACUCAAUACACUAAUUAACAAAUUCAAUACUCACAUUGAAAGAAAUUAAAAAUAAUAUUAUGAAACCCUAACCUUCAAUUAAAGGAGAAGGGCAGUGGAUCGACGUCGGGGUCAGUUGGCCGGAGAUGUUGCUCUCCUCGCCGGCUGUUGAUGUUGAUUGGAGAGACGAGAGAUAGGCGGCGAUUUGUCUCGCCGGUGAGAAGAGACGGGAGGGAAGGAGAGAAGAGAUGAGAAGAGGAGGGCGGCGGGAGGAGG